This 68-nucleotide transfer RNA is filed under the name Cerion uva. RNAcentral's name for it is "tRNA-Phe". Lineage: Eukaryota; Metazoa; Mollusca; Gastropoda; Stylommatophora; Cerionidae. The record is from RNAcentral.
ACUAAGGUAGCUUAUAUCAUAAAGCUUUAUCUUGAAGGGAUAAAUAAGGAGGCUUACUCUCAUUAGUA